This 253-nucleotide ribosomal RNA is filed under the name uncultured bacterium. RNAcentral describes it as "partial 16S ribosomal RNA". It matches the Rfam family "Bacterial small subunit ribosomal RNA", at positions 524 to 776 of the family's 1533-position model. The record is from RNAcentral.
UAUGUAGGUGGCAAGCGUUGUCCAGAUUUAUUGGGUUUAAAGGGUGCGUAGGCGGCCCUGUAAGUCAGUGCUGAAAUAUCCCAGCUUAACUGGGAGGGUGGCAUUGAUACUGCGGGGCUAGAGUACAGAUGAGGUAGGCGGAAUUGACGGUGUAGCGGUGAAAUGCUUAGAUAUCGUCAAGAACACCUAUAGCGAAGGCAGCUUACUAGGCUGUAACUGACGCUGAGGCACGAAAGUGUGGGGAUCAAACAGG